CCUACGGGAGGCAGCAGUAGGGAAUCUUCCACAAUGGGCGCAAGCCUGAUGGAGCAACACCGCGUGAGUGAAGAAGGGUUUCGGCUCGUAAAGCUCUGUUGUUAAAGAAGAACACGUAUGAGAGUAACUGUUCAUACGUUGACGGUAUUUAACCAGAAAGUCACGGCUAACUACGUGCCAGCAGCCGCGGUAAUACGUAGGUGGCAAGCGUUAUCCGGAUUUAUUGGGCGUAAAGAGAGUGCAGGCGGUUUUCUAAGUCUGAUGUGAAAGCCUUCGGCUUAACCGGAGAAGUGCAUCGGAAACUGGAUAACUUGAGUGCAGAAGAGGGUAGUGGAACUCCAUGUGUAGCGGUGGAAUGCGUAGAUAUAUGGAAGAACACCAGUGGCGAAGGCGGCUACCUGGUCUGCAACUGACGCUGAGACUCGAAAGCAUGGGUAGCGAACAGGAUUAGAUACCCGAGUAGUC
RNAcentral lists this ribosomal RNA (465 nucleotides) under uncultured Lactobacillus sp. Its description in RNAcentral is "bacterial SSU rRNA". It matches the Rfam family "Bacterial small subunit ribosomal RNA", at positions 338 to 795 of the family's 1533-position model. Lineage: Bacteria; Bacillati; Bacillota; Bacilli; Lactobacillales; Lactobacillaceae. The record is from RNAcentral.